AACGAACGCUGGCGGCAUGCCUAACACAUGCAAGUCGAACGAGACCUUCGGGUCUAGUGGCGCACGGGUGCGUAACGCGUGGGAACCUGCCCUUAGGUUCGGAAUAACUCCCCGAAAGGGGUGCUAAUACCGGAUAAUGUCUUCGGACCAAAGAUUUAUCGCCUUUGGAUGGGCCCGCGUUGGAUUAGCUAGUUGGUAGGGUAAAAGCCUACCAAGGCUACGAUCCAUAGCUGGUCUGAGAGGAUGAUCAGCCACACUGGGACUGAGACACGGCCCAGACUCCUACGGGAGGCAGCAGUGGGGAAUAUUGGACAAUGGGCGAAAGCCUGAUCCAGCAAUGCCGCGUGAGUGAUGAAGGCCUUAGGGUUGUAAAGCUCUUUUACCCGGGAUGAUAAUGACAGUACCGGGAGAAUAAGCUCCGGCUAACUCCGUG
This 433-nucleotide ribosomal RNA is filed under the name uncultured bacterium. Its description in RNAcentral is "partial 16S ribosomal RNA". It matches the Rfam family "Bacterial small subunit ribosomal RNA", at positions 29 to 507 of the family's 1533-position model. The record is from RNAcentral.